UGAGCAAUCUGCCCUUCUCAUCGGAAUAAGCGUUGGAAACGACGUCUAAUGCCGAAUACGACCUCCUUUCGCAUGAUCGGAGGUGGAAAGCUCCGGCGGAGAAGGAUGAGCUCGCGGCCUAUCAGCUUGUUGGGUGGGGUCAUGGCUCACCAAGGCGACGACGGGUAGCUGGUCUGAGAGGACGACCAGCCACACGUGGGACUGAGACACGGCCCAGAUCCCGUAACGGGG
Molecule: ribosomal RNA, 231 nt
Filed under: uncultured bacterium
Lineage: Bacteria
Description: partial 16S ribosomal RNA
Rfam family: Bacterial small subunit ribosomal RNA
Source: RNAcentral